AUUGAACGCUGGCGGCAUGCCUUACACAUGCAAGUCGAACGGCAGCACGGGAGCAAUCCUGGUGGCGAGUGGCGAACGGGUGAGUAAAGUAUCGGAACGUGCCCAGUCGUGGGGGAUAACGUAGCGAAAGUUACGCUAAUACCGCAUACGAUCUAUGGAUGAAAGCGGGGGAUCGCAAGACCUCGCGCGAUUGGAGCGGCCGAGAUCAGAUUAGGUAGUUGGUGGGGUAGAGGCUCACCAAGCCGACGAUCUGUAGCUGGUCUGAGAGGACGAACAGCCACACUGGGACUGAGACACGGCCCAGACUCCUACGGGAGGCAGCAGUGGGGAAUUUUGGACAAUGGGCGCAAGCCUGAUCCAGCCAUGCCGCGUGCAGGAUGAAGGCCUUCGGGUUGUAAACUGCUUUUGUACGGAACGAAAAGGUUUGACUUAAUACGUUGGACUCAUGACGGUACCGUAAGAAUAAGCACCGGCUAACUACGUGCCAGCCGCCGCGGUAA
RNAcentral lists this ribosomal RNA (500 nucleotides) under uncultured bacterium. RNAcentral's name for it is "partial 16S ribosomal RNA". It matches the Rfam family "Bacterial small subunit ribosomal RNA", at positions 30 to 523 of the family's 1533-position model. The record is from RNAcentral.